Molecule: non-coding RNA, 941 nt
Organism: Chiloscyllium plagiosum (whitespotted bambooshark)
Lineage: Eukaryota; Metazoa; Chordata; Chondrichthyes; Orectolobiformes; Hemiscylliidae
Source: RefSeq, a predicted model, not a curated record
CAGCUCAUGAUGUGCACACUCAAAUUUUCAUAUUCAGACAUUCUUUAACCCUGGAACCCCAGGUUCAACAGAAAAUGUGGAAGUCCGUGUCACGUAAUUUGGAAAAUGGAGACCUGAACAGCACGCUGCCCUCCCAAGUGUGGUUGAUUCAAGAUUUGAGACAAAUAACAACUCUCAGCUAAAUGAAGGAGAGCAUGCAUGAAUACAACAAGAUCAGGACAACAAACAAACUUAGACUGGCAAGUGCUCGGUGAUGAAAGUUUCAACAAGACAGAGUAAUCACCUGCCAUGCAAUAGUAGUAGCAUAAUUAUGUCCUCCCUCAACAACACUGAAUUCACUGUUGACUUGGGUUCAAUUUUAUCCUCCUGCUCUAUUUAUCCAUAGCAUCUAAUUUUUGGCCAACCUCUUCUUACAUUAUUAUGCAAUAUAUUUCCCUUUAAUUUCUAUAGGUGUUUUUUACAUGUAAGUAUUGCCUGUUUUAUAAUUCAUUGUCAUUCAUCAUCAUUAGCAUGCCUUUUUAGCUCAAUUUUCAUUCCCUCAGUUGUUUAUCCCCUACCAAUUUAUUUACUUCAGUCUUGCACAAUCUGUAUCUCUCUCAAACUGUUAUUGAGUCGUCUUCAUAAAGCACAGAAACAGAUCUUUCAGUCCAACCCCUCCGUGCCAACCACGCAUCCCAAUCUGACCUAGUCCCAUUUGCCAGCAUUGGACCCAUGUCCGUCUAAAUUCUUCCUGUUCGUACAUGCAUCUAGGUGCCUUUUUUAAAUGUUGUAAAUCCACCCACCCUCAACACUUCCACUGGCAGCUUCUUCUGUACAACCAUCAACUUCUGCAUGGUAAAAGUUACCCCCAGAUCCUUUUUAAAUCUUUCCCUUCUCACCUUAUGUCCUCUAGUUUUAGUCUCCCCCAUCCUAGGAUAAGAAGACCUCAUAGAUUCAUUCUA